This 1614-nucleotide ribosomal RNA is filed under the name Escherichia coli. RNAcentral describes it as "partial 23S ribosomal RNA". It matches the Rfam family "Bacterial large subunit ribosomal RNA", at positions 1270 to 2864 of the family's 2925-position model. Lineage: Bacteria; Pseudomonadati; Pseudomonadota; Gammaproteobacteria; Enterobacterales; Enterobacteriaceae. The record is from RNAcentral.
AUGCUGGAGGUAUCAGAAGUGCGAAUGCUGACAUAAGUAACGAUAAAGCGGGUGAAAAGCCCGCUCGCCGGAAGACCAAGGGUUCCUGUCCAACGUUAAUCGGGGCAGGGUGAGUCGACCCCUAAGGCGAGGCCGAAAGGCGUAGUCGAUGGGAAACAGGUUAAUAUUCCUGUACUUGGUGUUACUGCGAAGGGGGGACGGAGAAGGCUAUGUUGGCCGGGCGACGGUUGUCCCGGUUUAAGCGUGUAGGCUGGUUUUCCAGGCAAAUCCGGAAAAUCAAGGCUGAGGCGUGAUGACGAGGCACUACGGUGCUGAAGCAACAAAUGCCCUGCUUCCAGGAAAAGCCUCUAAGCAUCAGGUAACAUCAAAUCGUACCCCAAACCGACACAGGUGGUCAGGUAGAGAAUACCAAGGCGCUUGAGAGAACUCGGGUGAAGGAACUAGGCAAAAUGGUGCCGUAACUUCGGGAGAAGGCACGCUGAUAUGUAGGUGAAGUCCCUCGCGGAUGGAGCUGAAAUCAGUCGAAGAUACCAGCUGGCUGCAACUGUUUAUUAAAAACACAGCACUGUGCAAACACGAAAGUGGACGUAUACGGUGUGACGCCUGCCCGGUGCCGGAAGGUUAAUUGAUGGGGUCAGCGCAAGCGAAGCUCUUGAUCGAAGCCCCGGUAAACGGCGGCCGUAACUAUAACGGUCCUAAGGUAGCGAAAUUCCUUGUCGGGUAAGUUCCGACCUGCACGAAUGGCGUAAUGAUGGCCAGGCUGUCUCCACCCGAGACUCAGUGAAAUUGAACUCGCUGUGAAGAUGCAGUGUACCCGCGGCAAGACGGAAAGACCCCGUGAACCUUUACUAUAGCUUGACACUGAACAUUGAGCCUUGAUGUGUAGGAUAGGUGGGAGGCUUUGAAGUGUGGACGCCAGUCUGCAUGGAGCCGGCCUUGAAAUACCACCCUUUAAUGUUUGAUGUUCUAACGUUGACCCGUGAUCCGGGUUGCGGACAGUGUCUGGUGGGUAGUUUGACUGGGGCGGUCUCCUCCUAAAGAGUAACGGAGGAGCACGAAGGUUGGCUAAUCCUGGUCGGACAUCAGGAGGUUAGUGCAAUGGCAUAAGCCAGCUUGACUGCGAGCGUGACGGCGCGAGCAGGUGCGAAAGCAGGUCAUAGUGAUCCGGUGGUUCUGAAUGGAAGGGCCAUCGCUCAACGGAUAAAAGGUACUCCGGGGAUAACAGGCUGAUACCGCCCAAGAGUUCAUAUCGACGGCGGUGUUUGGCACCUCGAUGUCGGCUCAUCACAUCCUGGGGCUGAAGUAGGUCCCAAGGGUAUGGCUGUUCGCCAUUUAAAGUGGUACGCGAGCUGGGUUUAGAACGUCGUGAGACAGUUCGGUCCCUAUCUGCCGUGGGCGCUGGAGAACUGAGGGGGGCUGCUCCUAGUACGAGAGGACCGGAGUGGACGCAUCACUGGUGUUCGGGUUGUCAUGCCAAUGGCACUGCCCGGUAGCUAAAUGCGGAAGAGAUAAGUGCUGAAAGCAUCUAAGCACGAAACUUGCCCCGAGAUGAGUUCUCCCUGACUCCUUGAGAGUCCUGAAGGAACGUUGAAGACGACGACGUUGAUAGGCCGG